Molecule: long non-coding RNA, 1008 nt
Organism: Magnolia sinica
Lineage: Eukaryota; Viridiplantae; Streptophyta; Magnoliopsida; Magnoliales; Magnoliaceae
Exons: 8
Source: RefSeq, a predicted model, not a curated record
AUAAUGUCGUAUAUUUGCUUUUAAAGAAAUCUACCAGGGUUUGACCCGAAUACACAACAUUGCUUGCAUAGGUUGGAUGCUUACUUGAUCAUGCUAGCACUAGCUACACAUGAAGUGCAUUUUGCAAUUCUUAGAGAGAGAAUAUCAAAAUGGGAGAUGAACGAGGUUGAUCCGUUGCCAAUUACUCAAUCUGAUAAUAGAUGCAAGGGCUGAUGUCGGCCUCAUGGGACUGAUUCCUUACCAAAAGGUAUAAUCCGUGAGACCUCCAACUUAGAGAUGUGACCAUUAUGGGGUUUCCUAAAGAAAAAGGGGAACGCAAAAGCUUCGAAUAACUUACUAGCCAUUGCAGUUGGAAUAAAACAGAAAGAAAAUGUGAACCAGAUUGUUGAAAAGGGAAGUGGAUUCGUUGAUUCAGAUGUGACAUCUCCAAAGCAAAUCAAUCGAAAAUUGCUAUUGAAACAGCUAGCAAUAGACCUGUGUACCAGUGAGCGGAGGAUCCUAUUUCACACCCAAUAUGUGUUGUCAACCCCAAGUUGUUUCCAGCAGCAAUGAGUAAAUCGACUGUUUUAUCAUACUAGAUUUGCAGCUUCGCCCCAAUUUCUGUGAUGCGUGGUCAAAUUUAGCUAGUGCAUAUAUGAGGAAAGGAAGACUUAAUGAGGCAGCCUAGUGUUGUCGCCAGGCUCUUGCAUUGAACCCUCACUUGGUGAAUCCUUGUUUUGUUUUAUCAUUUAGUUUCCUUCUUUUAUUGUAGAUGCAUUGAAAUUACUAUUUGCAUAUCUUCCCCUUAUUGGCAGGUUAAUGCUCAUAGCAACCUUGGUAAUCUGAUGAAGGCACAAGGCUUAGUAAGAGAAGUAAGUCAUAGUGGAUUCGAUACAUUAUUUUCAUUGGAUGUUCUUUAAGACUCGAAGUAGAAUUCGAGAACCAUGAUCCAUGACUGGACUGCACUGGUUUGAGCAGUUGUUCUACUAAUGGUGUGUCUUAAUUUUUCUAAUAAGCUGUUUUGAAACU